CAAGGCGCAGCCUGAUGCAGCCAUGCCGCGUGGUGUGAAGAAGGCCUUCGGGGUUGUAAAGCACUUUCAGUCAGGAGGAAAGGGUGUGAGUUAAUACCUCACAGCUGUGACGUUACUGACAGAAGAAGCACCGGCUAACUCCGUGCCAGCAGCCGCGGUAAUACGA
Molecule: ribosomal RNA, 166 nt
Filed under: uncultured marine bacterium
Lineage: Bacteria
Description: partial 16S ribosomal RNA
Rfam family: Bacterial small subunit ribosomal RNA
Source: RNAcentral